RNAcentral lists this ribosomal RNA (253 nucleotides) under uncultured bacterium. RNAcentral's name for it is "partial 16S ribosomal RNA". It matches the Rfam family "Bacterial small subunit ribosomal RNA", at positions 524 to 776 of the family's 1533-position model. The record is from RNAcentral.
UACAGAGGGUGCAAGCGUUAAUCGGAAUUACUGGGCGUAAAGAGCGCGCAGGCGGUCGUUCAAGUCGCGUGUGAAAGCCCCGAGCUUAACUUGGGAAUUGCGCUUGUGACUGGCGAGCUGGAGUGUGGCAGAGGGAGGUGGAAUUCCACGUGUAGCAGUGAAAUGCGUAGAGAUGUGGAGGAACACCGAUGGCGAAGGCAGCCUCCUGGGCCAGCACUGACGCUCAUGCACGAAAGCGUGGGGAGCAAACAGG